RNAcentral lists this ribosomal RNA (253 nucleotides) under uncultured Rhodoplanes sp. RNAcentral's name for it is "partial 16S ribosomal RNA". It matches the Rfam family "Bacterial small subunit ribosomal RNA", at positions 524 to 776 of the family's 1533-position model. The record is from RNAcentral. Lineage: Bacteria; Pseudomonadati; Pseudomonadota; Alphaproteobacteria; Hyphomicrobiales; Nitrobacteraceae.
UACGAAGGGGGCUAGCGUUGCUCGGAAUCACUGGGCGUAAAGCGCACGUAGGCGGCUUUUUAAGUCAGGGGUGAAAUCCCGGAGCUCAACUCCGGAACUGCCCUUGAUACUGAGAAGCUCGAGUUCGGGAGAGGUGAGUGGAACUGCGAGUGUAGAGGUGAAAUUCGUAGAUAUUCGCAAGAACACCAGUGGCGAAGGCGGCUCACUGGCCCGAUACUGACGCUGAGGUGCGAAAGCGUGGGGAGCAAACAGG